AGCAGCCGCGGUAAUUCCAGCUCCAAUAGCGUAUAUUAAAGUUGUUGCAGUUAAAAAGCUCGUAGUUGAAUUUCAGGCCUGGCUGGACGGUCCGCCCUUCGGGUGAGUACUGUCUGUGGUCGGGUCCUACCUUCUGGCGAAGCGUCAUGGCCUUAACCGGCCGUGGCGGGGAACCAGGACUUUUACUGUGAAAAAUUAGAGUGUUCAAAGCAGGCAAUCGCUUGGAUACAUUAGCAUGGAAUAAUGGAAUAGGACAAUGGUUCUAUUUGUUGGUUUCUAGGACCGUUGUAAUGAUUAAUAGGGAUAGUUGGGGGCAUUAGUAUUCAAUUGUCAGAGGUGAAAUUCUUGGAUUUAUUGAAGACUAACUACUGCGAAAGCAUUUGCCAAGGAUGUUUUCAUUAAUCAAGAACGAAAGUUAGGGGAUCGAAGACGAUCAGAUACCGUCGUAGUCUUAACCAUAAACUAUGCCGA
RNAcentral lists this ribosomal RNA (471 nucleotides) under uncultured Paraglomus. RNAcentral's name for it is "SSU rRNA". It matches the Rfam family "Eukaryotic small subunit ribosomal RNA", at positions 569 to 1045 of the family's 1831-position model. Lineage: Eukaryota; Fungi; Glomeromycota; Glomeromycetes; Paraglomerales; Paraglomeraceae. The record is from RNAcentral.